GGAAUCUUCCACAAUGGACGCAAGUCUGAUGGAGCAACGCCGCGUGAGUGAAGAAGGGUUUCGGCUCGUAAAGCUCUGUUGUUAAAGAAGAACGUGGGUAAGAGUAACUGUUUACCCAGUGACGGUAUUUAACCAGAAAGCCACGGCUAACCACGUGCCAG
RNAcentral lists this ribosomal RNA (161 nucleotides) under uncultured bacterium. Its description in RNAcentral is "partial 16S rRNA". It matches the Rfam family "Bacterial small subunit ribosomal RNA", at positions 358 to 511 of the family's 1533-position model. The record is from RNAcentral.